This 484-nucleotide ribosomal RNA is filed under the name uncultured bacterium. RNAcentral's name for it is "partial 16S ribosomal RNA". It matches the Rfam family "Bacterial small subunit ribosomal RNA", at positions 30 to 507 of the family's 1533-position model. The record is from RNAcentral.
AUUGAACGCUGGCGGCAGGCCUAACACAUGCAAGUCGAGCGGAUGAAGGGAGCUUGCUCCUGGAUUCAGCGGCGGACGGGUGAGUAAUGCCUAGGAAUCUGCCUGGUAGUGGGGGAUAACGUCCGGAAACGGGCGCUAAUACCGCAUACGUCCUGAGGGAGAAAGUGGGGGAUCUUCGGACCUCACGCUCUCAGAUGAGCCUAGGUCGGAUUAGCUAGUUGGUGGGGGAAAGGCCUACCAAGGCGACGAUCCGUAACUGGUCUGAGAGGAUGAUCAGUCACACUGUAACUGAGACGCGGUCCAGACUCCUACGGGAGGCAGCCGUGGGGAAUAUUGGGCAAUGGGCGAAAGCCUGAUCCAGCCAUGCCGCGUGUGUGAAGAAGGUCUUCGGAUUGUAAAGCACUUUAAGGUGGGAGGAAGGGCAGUAAGUUAAUACCUUGCUGUUUUGACGUUACCAACAGAAUAAGCUCCGGCUAACUUCGUG